UACGAAGGGUGCAAGCGUUACUCGGAAUUACUGGGCGUAAAGCGCGCGUAGGCGGUUUGUUAAGUCUGGCGUGAAAUCCCCGGGCUCAACCUGGGAAUGGCGUUGGAUACUGGCUAGCUAGAGUGUGUCAGAGGAUGGUGGAAUUCCCGGUGUAGAGGUGAAAUGCGUAGAGAUCGGGAAGAACACCAGUGGCGAAGGCGGCCAUCUGGGACAACACUGACGCUGAGGCACGAAAGCGUGGGGAGCAAACAGG
RNAcentral lists this ribosomal RNA (253 nucleotides) under uncultured bacterium. RNAcentral describes it as "partial 16S ribosomal RNA". It matches the Rfam family "Bacterial small subunit ribosomal RNA", at positions 524 to 776 of the family's 1533-position model. The record is from RNAcentral.